Molecule: unclassified non-coding RNA, 337 nt
Filed under: uncultured Paraglomeraceae
Lineage: Eukaryota; Fungi; Glomeromycota; Glomeromycetes; Paraglomerales
Description: sequence contains 18S rRNA gene
Source: RNAcentral
CCCAACUAUCCCUAUUAAUCAUUACGACUGUCCCGGAAACCAACAAAAUAGAACCGUCGUCCUAUUUCAUUAUUCCAUGCUAAUGUAUUCAAGCGUACGAGCCCGCUUUGAGCACUCUAAUUUUUUCAAGGUAAAGGUCCUGGUUCCCGCGGACACCAAGUGAAUGGCAUCCACGCUCGCCAGAAGGUGAGACCCGCGACGACGCAGUGCUCGCCCAGAGGACGGACCACCCGCACGGGCCUAAGGUUCAACUACGAGCUUUUUAACUGCAACAACUUUAAUAUACGCUAUUGGAGCUGGAAUUACCGCGGCUGCUGGCACCAGACUUGCCCUCCAA